CCGGACCUGCUCCAGCUCGAAGAUAGUGUAGGGGCGGGUGGAGCGGUGCCCAGGCAGGGCUGGGCCCACAGGAGUCACCGGGAUAAAUCUGGGCAGGGGCAGAGAGAAGAGGACGGUUGGAACAAGAGAAAUCCCAUUCCUAAAGCCAGGACUCCACAGUCUACGUGCCCGAGGAGCCUUCCCGUCCAGGCUGUGGCAGAGGGAAGGACGGAGGUGAGGCCUGUGGGAAUGGACCCGGGGGAGAGGAGCCGAGGAAGGACAAGUGUUGGAGGCAGGCAGGGAACAGAGGAGGCGCAGCACAGCUGUGCCCGCCCCCGUGACAGCCACCAGCUGGGGUUGGCCAGGUGUGGGCACUCACUGUCCAGUCACAGCUGUCUCCAAGGGCCGGUCACAAGAGAGGCAGUGGAAAUGUGCCAAGAGCUGCCUGUGAGGAGUGGGAUACACGCAGAGGUGCAGGAGGAACCAGCCUAAGAUGGAAGAGCUUUUCAAGCUCUCAGAUUCUGUCCCUGCAGCUACGGGAUGGUCCAGUGGGAUCAGCCUCUCCCCCAGGGCACACUGCGCUCGCUGGUGGGGACCCCCCUCCCAGCCCCCCGCUGUGGUCCGCACCCCACCUCCGCAUGGCCGCCGCCUCGUCCGCCUGGUAGAGGGGAGAGCGCUCCUUGAGCUGCUGGCGCAAGGACUUCCAGCGGUCUUCCAGCAACUUCUUCACGGGGUCCAGCUCCAGGCGGUCCAGCUGUGGGUGGCCGUGGGAGCUUGUCCAGCAUCUUCUGCCAGUCCUGCUCGUGGUCGCUCAUCUUCGCCACCAGCUCCUGCAUCAUGUGGUUCAGCUGCUCUGUGG
This is a long non-coding RNA of Mustela lutreola (European mink), 838 nucleotides long. RefSeq lists it as uncharacterized. The record is from RefSeq and is a predicted model, not a curated record. The transcript is spliced from 3 exons. NCBI's taxonomy places the organism in Eukaryota, Metazoa, Chordata, Mammalia, Carnivora, Mustelidae.